RNAcentral lists this unclassified non-coding RNA (284 nucleotides) under uncultured fungus. RNAcentral's name for it is "partial contains 5.8S ribosomal RNA, internal transcribed spacer 2, and large subunit ribosomal RNA". The stretch from base 1 to 52 matches the Rfam family "5.8S ribosomal RNA", at positions 103 to 154 of the family's 154-position model. Lineage: Eukaryota; Fungi. The record is from RNAcentral.
AACGCAUCUUGCGCUCCAUGGUAUUCCGUGGAGCAUGCCUGUUCGAGUGUCACGUCAACCCUCGCCCUUGCGAUGUCAAAGUCGCAUGUGGUGGAUUUGGACCGUGCCGUAGUUGGCUCGUCCUGAAAUGCAUUAGCUUGCGCUUUUAGAGUGCUGGGCACCGGUGUGAUAAUUAUCUGCGCCAACGCCAUUAGCCUCUUCAGCGGCGCUGCUUACAGCCGUCCUGACGGACAACUUAUCAAAGCUUUGGCCUCGAAUCAGGUAGGACUACCCGCUGAACUUAA